UGCCAAGCCCUCUAAACUGGGAGAACGGCAUCCCUGCCCAGCUUACGCAUAAGGAUAGAAGAUCCCCAAGUUGCAUCUGAAUUCCAGCAUACUCAGCUGCUGCUACAGCUACAAUCUGUCACCAGUCUAUUAAGUCAUCCAUUACUUAUUUCCGAAUCUUUCAUCUAGGUCUGCACCUCACAUUACCUUCCCCUCUCCCCACAAAAAGGAAAAGGAAGAGGUGGAAUUUGUGAUCAAGGCACGAGACAGGCUUGAGGAACUAAAAGCAGAGAAGCCUCUCUGAAAUCCCUGGUCUGCAUCUUACUUGUGUGUGGUUGUAAUUGGGGAAGGAGAGGGAACAAAGGUGAAAUCAGAAGCAGGAAGCAUUACCACAUUUAAUACAAAAUCAUUUUAUUUUUCAAGAUAAUUUUUUUCAACGGGUGGUUUCUGAUAACAUGCAAGAUUUAUUUGACUGCGGACCAAUGAGCAAACAAACUUCAGCCUAUGAUGUGUUUGCAAAUUGUUCACUUUGAACAUUCAUUAUUUGUGUUUAUGGUUGGUUAUUAGGUCAUGUAUUUGUAUGACAGCCAUUCCACAAAUGUUUGUGUGACCAAAAUCUUAUUCACAGAAAUGUUUGUCAAUCAAGAAUAAUAAGAGAUGCAUGGACAAACAAAACAGCUGUUCAGAAUUCAAAUGAAUGCUCCCAAAUACUGGUUUUACAAUAUUUGAUCAAUUUCUUUCUUUCUCAAAAAUGAUGGCAAAGUGCUAAACACUGUACUUAACUGUGAAGACUAACGGAGCAACAACAGGCUAACACAGAGGCAGUUGAUUAAGCUUACAGUUUUUCUCUUUGGCACUUUUAAUUAAAAUCAGUGCUUGCUUCAGCAGAAAGAGUCAGUCAAACCGGAGGAGGAAUGGAGUGCUGACAGAUGAAGUUUGACAAAUGCUUGUACUCUCUUCUUCAAGACCUGUUGUUGACACUGUCACCGCAGCCUGCAGAUGGACUAUCUGUCUAACCAACUCUGUAUUCUGGGUAGGAUCUUGCACUUUAUCCAGACUGAGCAUGAAGAGGGGACCGUGAUAAUUGCUCUGCAGUGUGUGAAAAGAAUCCUGUGUUGUUGUUAUCACCAUCAUCUGUGUGUAAAUGGUCGGGAACCUGAAUUAGUGGACAAAAUUAAAAUGAUCCCAAGAUUGAGCAAUCUUUAUCAGUAACCACAGGUCUUGCAUUGUUGACAGUCAGUACAAAACUAAUGCCAGUGAGCACCUGGCAUUGGCCACUGUUGGAAGACAGGAUACUGGGCUGGAUGGACCUUUGGUCUGACCCAGUAUGUCCGUUCUUAUGUGGUGGCAUGGAAAUAACACGCCCAAAGACAGUGCAGUCCAGUAGCCAAGGACAAGAGAGAGAAAUUUUCUGCGGAGGUUUGAAAAGAUGUAGAGAGUCAGUCAUGGUGAGAACUAGAGGAACCAUAUUCCAGAUGGCACGAGACACAGAGAAGCCUCUCACACCAGCAGUGGUGAGAUGGUAUGAAGAAACAAAGAUGAAGAGGAGUAAGUAUGAAGUGAGGCAAAAGGAACAAGGUGCUGGAGGUGGGCUGGAGCAAGUCCAUGGAGAAUUUUAAAACCAAGAUGGUAAUUUUGAAUUGCGUCAUAAAAUGAAUGGGGAAUCAGUGAAGUUGUUUGAAAUGGGGGGCAAAGUAACCACGCUUCUUUGAAGGUGUGAGGGGAUGGUGGACUGAAAUCUUCUGCACAUGUUGGUGUCUGGAGGAGGUACAAGAAAAGGCCAUGGAGCUCCAGUGUCAAGGCAAGAGGAGAUGAAGACAUGGAGGAGGAUUUCAGCAGCAGGGAAGUUCAAGCAUAUGCAAGCAAAAGGUGCAGGAACCUCUUACUCUCAACUGGGAAUAUGCCUACAAUUUUUGUUAUCCAGAGGGGCUUUCUCUGGAGAGGCCAAACGAAUCCUAUAGCAAGAAAAGUGACACACCAUCUUCUAACUAUCCCUGUGAUAGGAACAGCAGUCUCAGCUUUAACUUGUGGCCUUCCCCUGACAGAUCUGUACUCCCUCUCACCACUUUCAAUGCAUGGAAUUAUAGUUUCCUAGAUUGGGAAAGGAUGAGACCUAGGGAAAAGGAGGAUCUCUCAACCAAGACUGUACUCAAAGGCCUUGGGUCCAUUCAAAUAAUUAAUAUAGAUGUUACAUCAUUGUGAAUAAUCAGAUAUGCUGAGGAGGUCACAGUGAAGAAGAGGCGUUUGAAGAGAGCAUUUGUUUCCUAAAUUGGGACAAAGGACUAUGGGGACUGGGCAGGUCCUAGUCUGCUUUUAUGGGAAAGUCUAUCAUGCAUGAAUGAGUAUAAUGGUGAAACGAUGGAAAGUUAAUCUUUUUAUGUGGCUUCUGUUCCAGAAAAAUAAAAAGAGAAAUGAAUUGUAAUAA
Molecule: long non-coding RNA, 2404 nt
Organism: Caretta caretta (loggerhead turtle)
Lineage: Eukaryota; Metazoa; Chordata; Testudines; Cheloniidae
Source: RefSeq, a predicted model, not a curated record